This 23-nucleotide non-coding RNA is filed under the name Cricetulus griseus (Chinese hamster). Lineage: Eukaryota; Metazoa; Chordata; Mammalia; Rodentia; Cricetidae. The record is from RNAcentral.
AACACGUAGACACAAAGACACCU